GAUUGCACUUCCUCCUUUCUCAAUCUCAUUAUACAACUUUCACAACUGCCCAUCUUUUCUAUGCACGUAAACAACAUUAUUUAGCCAUGCCAUCUGAAACCUCAUCAUCCCCGGACACUUGUUUUUCUGAAGGUAGUCCAUAUGUUCAACUGGUGUCCAAAACAUUGUCGGACAGGCUCCUAGGCAAGUACUUUGAUGCGUCCGAGUUCGACUUCGAUUACGAGCAGAGCAGCCUAUGGUCUCCUGUGGUUUCCCGAACUGUUUGGUUGACCUCGCCGGGAAACCUGUGUUCCAAGAAGCCACAUCGCUUCAGAAUUUAUAUCCAUGCUUGUUUCAAGAUUUUUGGGUGUUCUUGAUGAGCUUUCAGAGGAAGCUGUGUUUCUGAUUUGGAUGGUCUCUGGUGUGCUUGUUAGACAAGGAACUUGAAUCUGAUCUCCAGCAAACUUAGUCAAAAUAGCAGGUGGUCAAAACUCAAAAGGGUCCAUAGUAGUUGUAGACUUGUAGAAGAUGCAUUUUGUAAACAUAUAUAUACUGUCACAUAUACUGCAUUUUGUGCUCAUUUCUAUCCAAAUGAAUGAAAUUGCAUACCUUAUUGACAUUGUUAAUUAGUGUACUAUUGAAUAUAUAU
Long non-coding RNA from Ipomoea triloba (trilobed morning glory), 628 nucleotides. RefSeq lists it as uncharacterized. NCBI's taxonomy places the organism in Eukaryota, Viridiplantae, Streptophyta, Magnoliopsida, Solanales, Convolvulaceae. The transcript is spliced from 2 exons. The record is from RefSeq and is a predicted model, not a curated record.